RNAcentral lists this transfer RNA (70 nucleotides) under Marmota monax (woodchuck). RNAcentral describes it as "tRNA.Ser". Lineage: Eukaryota; Metazoa; Chordata; Mammalia; Rodentia; Sciuridae. The record is from RNAcentral.
GGGCUGGGGCUCAGCGGUAGAGCACUUGCCUGGAAUGUGUGAAGCACUGGGUUCGAUUCUCAGCACCACA